AAUAUCAAAUAGUUUUAUAAUAAAUAAAGUUAUUAUAUGUCAUAAAUUAUAAGAGGAAUUAAAUAAUUAAAAGGGUGAGAAAAACAAAGUUGGGUCUUUUCUUCUUCUCCAUUGCCGUGAGUAGAAAAGAGAAAGAAGGAAAAAAAAAAAAAGCUCAAGACACAUUUGGCCAUUAGCAUAGAUUGAUUCUAAGCUCAAGGACAAAAAGGGGGCACAAAUUUCGGAUAAGGGAAAGAGAAAGUAGCUGAAUAGUCGAUUCGUGAUAAUUUGAUAACAUCCGAGGUUGUGGAUUCUGACUACCAGCUCGGGGAUCGUCAGUACUUCGUCACACUAUCUACCAUUACGGCAGCCAUAAGAUUGGAUUAUCUUUUGGCAUGUAUAGGAUAGACAAUAAGUAGAAUGAUACUUUGACCUUCGUGUAGAAGUCAUGUGAUUACGGUAUCUUAUGGAACUUACUUGUAUAAGUGUUAAAUUCGAACUUUGUUUGCAUCUAGCAAUUUAGUAAAUGAAUGAUCUUUAUUCAAAAAAAAAUGUUCAAAA
Molecule: long non-coding RNA, 540 nt
Organism: Gossypium arboreum
Lineage: Eukaryota; Viridiplantae; Streptophyta; Magnoliopsida; Malvales; Malvaceae
Exons: 3
Source: RefSeq, a predicted model, not a curated record